This 555-nucleotide unclassified non-coding RNA is filed under the name Hevea brasiliensis (rubber tree). Lineage: Eukaryota; Viridiplantae; Streptophyta; Magnoliopsida; Malpighiales; Euphorbiaceae. The record is from RNAcentral.
AGGAAACAAAAUGAUAUAAGGAAUGUCACAGUUAAGCAUAGAUGAUGGCAUACAAUUAAUCACGAAACAAGCUAUAAAAACUGCAUCAGCCCAAAAUUGUUUAAGGACCUUCAUUUGAAAAAGGAGUACCCGUGCUACCUCAAGAAGAUGUCUAUUUUUUCUUUCAGCAACCCCAUUCUGGGAUGGAGUAUCAACACAAGAUGUCUGAUGAAGAAUGCCUUUUUGUGACAUAUAGGUUUGAAAAUUGCCAGAAAGAUAUUCCGUAGCAUUAUCGUUUCUCAAUAUAUGCACAAACGUAUUAAAUUGAUUUUGAAUCUCAGCACAAAAGGCAUAAAAAAUAGAAAAUAAUUCUAAACGAUUCUUCAUUAAAAAUAACCAAGUAACACGAGAAUAAUUAUUAACAAAUGUAAUAAACUACUUGAAUCCAGAGUUUGAAAUAACAGGACAUGGAUCCCAUACAUCAGAAUGAACUAAAUAAGCCCGUUUAUUAACUCGAGACACUGUAGGUAAACGAUGGUGUUUGGCAAACUAACAUGACUCACAAUUUAAAACUGA